CGCCCAACAGCUAGCCCACCCCUGUAAAAACAACCGACCAAUAUUUAUAAACCCUAAUAUACUAUAACUUACUAAACAAAUCAUUUUUCCACCCUAGUAUGGGAGACAGAAAAGGAAAUAGGAGCAAUAGAGAAAGUACCGCAAGGGAACGCUGAAAGAGAAAUGAAACAACCCAGUAAAGCAUAAGAAAGCAGAGAUAUAACCUCGUACCUUUUGCAUCAUGAUUUAGCCAGUAUCCUCAAGCAAAGAGCGCUUUAGUUUGACCCCCCGAAACUGAGUGAGCUACUCCAAGACAGCCUAAUAAUAGGGCACACCCGUCUCUGUGGCAAAAGAGUGGGAAGAGCUUUGAGUAGAGGUGACAGACCUACCGAACUCAGUUAUAGCUGGUUGCCUGAUAAUUGGAUAGAAGUUCAGCCUCCCGGCUUCUUUCUUCACCACUUGUAUUUACCCAGACUUGAUACUUGAGAAACCGAGAGAGUUACUCAAAGGGGGUACAGCCCCUUUGAUAUAAGACACAACUUUUUUAGGAGGAUAAAGAUCAUAUUUAACCCAAAGGCAAAAUGUUUAGGUGGGCCUAAGAGCAGCCAUCCCCUCAGAAAGCGUUAUAGCUCAAACAUAAUCCUUCCCCUCCCCAUCCCGAUAAAACAAUCUUAAACCCCUAAUACUACCAGGCCAUCCCAUGCGAGCAUGGGAGUGACUAUGCUAAUAUGAGUAAUAAGAGAGUAAUAUCAUCUCUCUCCCCGCACAAGUGUAUAUCGGAACGGACCCCCCGCCGAGCUUUAACGGCCUCAGCCAAAGAGAGUAUUGAACAACACAUCAAACAACAAGAAAAUCAUUCAACAAUAAACCGUUAACCCCACACUGGUGUGCUUUUAAGGAAAGACUAAAAGAGAGUGAAGGAACUCGGCAAAUACAAGCCUCGCCUGUUUACCAAAAACAUCGCCUCUUGCAAAAUCAAUGAAUAAGAGGUCCCGCCUGCCCUGUGACUAUAAGUUUAACGGCCGCGGUAUUUUGACCGUGCGAAGGUAGCGCAAUCACUUGUCUCUUAAAUGGGGACCUGUAUGAAUGGCACCACGAGGGCUUAGCUGUCUCCACUCUCCAGUCAAUGAAAUUGAUCUCCCCGUGCAGAAGCGGGGAUAGUAACAUAAGACGAGAAGACCCUAUGGAGCUUUAGACACCAGAGCAGAUCAUGUUAAAAAUACCUAAAUAAAGGACUAAACCAAAUGACACCUGCCCUCCUGUCUUUGGUUGGGGCGACCGCGGGGAAAUACAAAACCCCCACGUGGAAUGAGAGUACUUCUCUUAUAGCUAAGAGCUCCCGCUCUAAUAAACAGAACUUCUGACCAAUAAGAUCCGGCAUUGCCGAUCAACGGACCGAGUUACCCUAGGGAUAACAGCGCAAUCCUCUUUUAGAGCCCAUAUCGACAAGAGGGUUUACGACCUCGAUGUUGGAUCAGGACAUCCUAAUGGUGCAGCCGCUAUUAAGGGUUCGUUUGUUCAACGAUUAAAGUCCUACGUGAUCUGAGUUCAGACCGGAGCAAUCCAGGUCAGUUUCUAUCUAUGAUAUGAUCUUUUCUAGUACGAAAGGACCGAAAAGAAGGGGCCCAUGCCUAAGGUACGCCUCACCCCCACCCAAUGAAAACAACUAAAGUAGGCAAAAGGGCAUACCCCUAAAGGCCAAAGAAAAUGGCAU
RNAcentral lists this ribosomal RNA (1693 nucleotides) under Kentrocapros aculeatus (basketfish). RNAcentral describes it as "16S rRNA". The stretch from base 70 to 1583 matches the Rfam family "Bacterial large subunit ribosomal RNA". Lineage: Eukaryota; Metazoa; Chordata; Actinopteri; Tetraodontiformes; Aracanidae. The record is from RNAcentral.